Molecule: transfer RNA, 72 nt
Filed under: bacterium
Lineage: Bacteria
Also listed under: 7 other names
Description: tRNA-Asn
Rfam family: tRNA
About the family: Transfer RNA (tRNA) molecules are approximately 80 nucleotides in length. Their secondary structure includes four short double-helical elements and three loops (D, anti-codon, and T loops). Further hydrogen bonds mediate the characteristic L-shaped molecular structure. tRNAs have two regions of fundamental functional importance: the anti-codon, which is responsible for specific mRNA codon recognition, and the 3' end, to which the tRNAs corresponding amino acid is attached (by aminoacyl-tRNA synthetases). tRNAs cope with the degeneracy of the genetic code in two manners: having more than one tRNA (with a specific anti-codon) for a particular amino acid; and 'wobble' base-pairing, i.e. permitting non-standard base-pairing at the 3rd anti-codon position.
Source: RNAcentral
UCCUCGGUAGCUCAACGGUGGAGCAUCCGGCUGUUAACCGGAGGGUUGUAGGUUCGAAUCCUACCCGGGGAG